CAUUUUCAGGUGGUAUUACACAGACACGUGAGUUUAUUGGUCUUUUAUUUAUGCCCUGUCUGAGGAUGCAGAUUGGUGGGUAGAUGAGAAGGAACUGAUUGAGAGAGAUUAACCCCAAGAACUGAGAUCUUCCCAGCAUUGCAUUCUCAACCCCAUUUUAGAAAGGUUCCAAAUAAGGACUUCUGUGGGUUUUUCUUUACAUCCAUCUUACCCUUCCCAAGUCUCCAUGUCCCUGCGUAAACCCUAAAGCCACCUCUCAAAAGGUUCUCUGGUUCCCUUCAAGGUUCUCUAGUUCCCUUCAUUCCACAUAUCUCCUCUUCCACACCCUCUAGCCAGCAGAGCUCCCUUCUGACAAGCAAAUCUAAGACCUAGAUGACAGAUGACUUCCUGCAUUUGGGUGGUUCUUUUGUCACUAAUUUGCCUUUUCUAAAAUUGUCCUGGUUUCUUCUGCCAAUUUCCCUUAUUUCUCCCCAGCAUAUAAAGUCUCCAUCUCUGGAACCACAGUAAUACUAACAUGCCCUCAGUAUCCUGGAUCUGAAAUACUAUGGCAACACAAUGAUAAAAACAUAGAAAGUGAUGAGGAUCACCUGUCACUGACGGGAUUUUCAGAAUUGGAGCAAAGUGGUUAUUAUGUCUGCUACCCCAAAGGAAGCAAACCAGAAGAUGCGAGCUUUUAUCUCUACCUGAGGGCGAGAGUGUGUGAGAACUGCAUGGAGAUGGAUGUGAUGUCAGUGGCCACAAUUGUCAUAGUGGACAUCUGCAUCACUGGGGGCUUGCUGCUGCUGGUUUACUACUGGAGCAAGAAUCGAAAGGCCAAGGCCAAGCCUGUGACACGAGGAGCGGGUGCUGGCGGCAGGCAAAGGGGACAAAACAAGGAGAGGCCACCACCUGUUCCCAACCCAGACUAUGAGCCCAUCCGGAAAGGCCAGCAGGACCUGUAUUCUGGCCUGAAUCAGAGACGCAUCUGAUCCUCUGGAGAACACUGCCUCCCGCUGGCCCAGGUCUCCUCUCCAGUCCCCCUGCGACUCCCUGUUUCCUGGGCUAGUCUUGGACCCCACGAGAGAAUCAUUCCUCCGCCUCAUGGUGAACUCGCGCCCUCCAGCCUGAUCCCCAGCUCCCUCCUUCCUGCCUUCUCUGCUGGUACCCAGUCCUAAAACAUUGCUGCUUCCUCUUCCUUUGAAGCAUCAUCAGUAGUCACACCCUCACAGCUGGCCUGCCCUCUUGCCAGGAUUAUUUAUUUGUGCUAUUCACUCCCUUCCCUUUGGAUGUAACUUCUCCGUUCAGUUCCCUCCUUUUCUUGCAUGUAAGUUGUCCCCCAUCCCAAACUAUUCCAUCUACUUUUCUAUCGCCGUCCCCUUUUGCAACCCUCUCUGGGGAUGGACUGGGUAAAUGUUGACAGAGGCCCUGCCCU
RNAcentral lists this small RNA (1411 nucleotides) under Pongo abelii (Sumatran orangutan). RNAcentral describes it as "retained intron". Lineage: Eukaryota; Metazoa; Chordata; Mammalia; Primates; Hominidae. The record is from RNAcentral.